RNAcentral lists this transfer RNA (77 nucleotides) under Bdellovibrionales bacterium. RNAcentral's name for it is "tRNA-Arg". It matches the Rfam family "tRNA". From Rfam's summary of the family: Transfer RNA (tRNA) molecules are approximately 80 nucleotides in length. Their secondary structure includes four short double-helical elements and three loops (D, anti-codon, and T loops). Lineage: Bacteria; Pseudomonadati; Bdellovibrionota; Bdellovibrionia; Bdellovibrionales. The record is from RNAcentral.
GCGGGCAUAGCUCAGCUGGAUAGAGUAUUUGGCUUCGAACCAAAGGGUCGGGGGUUCGAGUCCCUCUGCCCGCGCCA